GUGCCAGCAGCCGCGGUAAUUCCAGCUCCAAUAGCGUAUAUUAAAGUUGUUGCAGUUAAAAAGCUCGUAGUUGAAACUUGGGCCUGGCUGGCAGGUCCGCCUCACCGCGUGUACUUGUCCGGCCGGGCCUUUCCUUCUGGAGAACCUCAUGCCCUUCACUGGGUGUGUUGGGGAACCAGGACUUUUACUUUGAAAAAAUUAGAGUGUUCAAAGCAGGCCUUUGCUCGAAUACGUUAGCAUGGAAUAAUAGAAUAGGACGUGCGGUCCUAUUUUGUUGGUUUCUAGGACCGCCGUAAUGAUUAAUAGGGACAGUCGGGGGCAUCAGUAUUCAAUUGUCAGAGGUGAAAUUCUUGGAUUUAUUGAAGACUAACUACUGCGAAAGCAUUUGCCAAGGAUGUUUUCAUUAAUCAGUGAACGAAAGUUAGGGGAUCGAAGACGAUCAGAUACCGUCGUAGUCUUAACCGUAAACUAUGCCGACUAGGGAUCGGGCGAUGUUCUUUUUCUGACACGCUCGGCACCUUACGAGAAAUCAAAGUUUUUGGGUUCUGGGGGGAGUAUGGUCGCAAGGGCUGAAACUUAAAGAAAUUGACGGAAGGGCACCACCAGGCGUGGAGCCUGCGCUUAAUUUGACUCAACACGGGGAAACUCACUAGGUCCAGAUGAAAUAAGGAUUGACAAGAUUGAGAGCUCUUUCUUGAUUUUUUCAGGUGGUGGUGGCAUGGCCGUUCUUAGUUGGUCGAGUGAUUUGUCUGCUUUAAUUGCGAUAACGAACGAGAACCUAAACCUGCUAAAUAGCCAGGCUAAGCCUUUGCUGGU
This 816-nucleotide ribosomal RNA is filed under the name uncultured fungus. Its description in RNAcentral is "SSU rRNA". It matches the Rfam family "Eukaryotic small subunit ribosomal RNA", at positions 564 to 1379 of the family's 1831-position model. Lineage: Eukaryota; Fungi. The record is from RNAcentral.